Molecule: ribosomal RNA, 433 nt
Filed under: uncultured bacterium
Lineage: Bacteria
Description: partial 16S ribosomal RNA
Rfam family: Bacterial small subunit ribosomal RNA
Source: RNAcentral
AGCGAACGCUGGCGGCAGGCCUAACACAUGCAAGUCGAACGGAUCCUCCGGGAUUAGUGGCGGACGGGUGAGUAACACGUGGGAACGUGCCCUUUGGUUCGGAACAACUCAGGGAAACUUGAGCUAAUACCGGAUGUGCCCUUCGGGGGAAAGAUUUAUCGCCAUUGGAGCGGCCCGCGUCUGAUUAGCUAGUUGGUGAGGUAACGGCCCACCAAGGCGACGAUCAGUAGCUGGUCUGAGAGGAUGAUCAGCCACACUGGGACUGAGACACGGCCCAGACUCCUACGGGAGGCAGCAGUGGGGAAUCUUGCGCAAUGGGCGAAAGCCUGACGCAGCCAUGCCGCGUGAAUGAUGAAGGUCUUAGGAUUGUAAAAUUCUUUCAGCGGGGACGAUAAUGACGGUACCCGCAGAAGAAGCUCCGGCUAACUUCGUG